CUCUCCUUUCGGGUCUUUUGGGUUUGGCAAUUGGAUGAGUACAAUUUAAAUCCCUUAACAAGUAUCAAAAAGAGGGCAAGUCUGGUGCCAGCAGCCGCGGUAAUUCCAGCUCUUUUAGCGUAUAUUAAAGUUGUUGCAGUUAAAAAGCUCGUAGUUGAAUUUCAAAUUUGACUUGAUGGUCUAGCUUAGGCUGGUACUAUCUUUGUUGGAUUUUUCUUUCUAGGGAACUAUAGUGUUAUUUAUUUGGCGCUUUAGGGAACUAGGACUUUUACUUUGAAAAAAUUAGAGUGUUUAAGGCAGGCUUACGCUUGAAUACAUUAGCAUGGAAUAAUAGAAUAGGACUUUGGUUCUAUUUUGUUGGUUUCUAGGACCAAGGUAAUGAUUAAUAGGGAUAGUUGGGGGCAUUAGUAUUGAGCAGCUAGAG
RNAcentral lists this ribosomal RNA (424 nucleotides) under uncultured eukaryote. Its description in RNAcentral is "SSU rRNA". It matches the Rfam family "Eukaryotic small subunit ribosomal RNA", at positions 486 to 910 of the family's 1831-position model. The record is from RNAcentral.